AUUAGAUAGUUGGUGAGGUAACGGCUCACCAAGUCGACGAUCUGUAGCCGAACUGAGAGGUUGAUCGGCCGCAUUGGGACUGAGACACGGCCCAGACUCCUACGGGAGGCAGCAGUGGGGAAUAUUGCGCCANGGGGGCAACCCUGACGCAGCAACGCCGCGUGCAGGAAGAAGGUCUUCGGAUUGUAAACUGUUGUCGCAAGGGAAGAAGACAGUGACGGUACCUUGUGAGAAAGUCACGGCUAACUACGUGCCAGCAGCCGCGGUAAUACGUAGGUGACGAGCGUUGUCCGGAUUUACUGGGUGUAAAGGGCGCGUAGGCGGACUGUCAAGUCAGUCGUGAAAUACCGGGGCUUAACCCCGGGGCUGCGAUUGAAACUGACAGCCUUGAGUAUCGGAGAGGAAAGCGGAAUUCCUAGUGUAGCGGUGAAAUGCGUAGAUAUUAGGAGGAACACCAGUGGCGAAGGCGGCUUUCUGGACGACAACUGACGCUGAGGCGCGAAAAGUGUGGGGAGCAAACAGGAUUAGAUACCCUGGUAGUCCACACCGUAAACCGAUGGAUACUAGGUGUAGGAGGGUAUCCGACCCCUUCUGUGCCGCAAUUUAAACACAAUAAGUAUCCCACCUGGGG
This 631-nucleotide ribosomal RNA is filed under the name uncultured bacterium. RNAcentral describes it as "bacterial SSU rRNA". It matches the Rfam family "Bacterial small subunit ribosomal RNA", at positions 240 to 878 of the family's 1533-position model. The record is from RNAcentral.